GGGCACUGUGAUCAGAUGGUGGCAUCUUGAGAGUUGGCUGGUCUCACUGACUGGACAGGUGCCCCCUUCCUCCCUCAUCACUCCAUGUGUGUCCCCCCAAUGCUACGUGCUAGAGUGAAGAGAAUGCAAGUAGAUGUGGUCCCCUACUGGAAGCUCCACACAAGCUCUCAAGAAAGGAGGGAGUGGUCCUUUAAGGCAAGUUAGCCAUUGUUUCUCUGUUGUUGUGGACACAUCUACACAUA
Molecule: small nuclear RNA, 242 nt
Filed under: Jaculus jaculus (lesser Egyptian jerboa)
Lineage: Eukaryota; Metazoa; Chordata; Mammalia; Rodentia; Dipodidae
Description: 7SK RNA (ENSJJAG00000005469.1)
Rfam family: 7SK RNA
About the family: 7SK was discovered as an abundant small nuclear RNA in the mid-70s but a possible function has only recently been suggested. Two independent studies have found that 7SK RNA binds the CDK9/cyclin T complex (known as elongation factor P-TEFb).
Source: RNAcentral